Molecule: ribosomal RNA, 253 nt
Filed under: uncultured bacterium
Lineage: Bacteria
Description: partial 16S ribosomal RNA
Rfam family: Bacterial small subunit ribosomal RNA
Source: RNAcentral
UACGUAGGUGGCAAGCGUUGUCCGGAUUUACUGGGCGUAAAGAGCGCGCAGGCGGUCGUUCAAGUCGCGUGUGAAAGCCCCCGGCUCAACUGGGGAGGGUCACGCGAUACUGAUCGACUCGAAGGCAGGAGAGGGUAGUGGAAUUCCCGGUGUAGUGGUGAAAUGCGUAGAUAUCGGGAGGAACACCUGUGGCGAAAGCGGCGCACUGGACCAUAACUGACGCUGAUGCGCGAAAGCUAGGGGAGCAAACAGG